GAAGGUAUAGCUCAGUGAUAGAGCACCUGCUUAGCAUGCACUAGGUCCUGGGUUCAAUCCCCAGUACCUCCA
Camelus ferus (Wild Bactrian camel) is the source of this 72-nucleotide transfer RNA. It matches the Rfam family "tRNA". Rfam says of the family: Transfer RNA (tRNA) molecules are approximately 80 nucleotides in length. The record is from Rfam. NCBI's taxonomy places the organism in Eukaryota, Metazoa, Chordata, Mammalia, Artiodactyla, Camelidae.